Molecule: non-coding RNA, 201 nt
Organism: Xyrichtys novacula (pearly razorfish)
Lineage: Eukaryota; Metazoa; Chordata; Actinopteri; Labriformes; Labridae
Source: the annotation of a GenBank genome assembly
UGUCUGCCUCACAACCAAUCAGGUUAGAGGAGGUGGAGAACGGCUUUGUUUACAGUCAGAAAGAGCGGACCGCUCAAAAAUGUUCAAAUGUUGACGACACAGACAGAAGAGAACACAGAGAUAUCGAUAUAUUACCAAAUAAUCAAUAACUAAUAACUAUUGACUGAUAUUAGAAGAUUUUUAUAAAUACACCAAAAUAAA